UAACCUGCCCAAGAGAUCGGGAUAACACCUGGAAACAGAUGCUAAUACCGGAUAACAACAGCUGAUGCCUAUCAACUGUUUAAAAGAUGGUUCUGCUAUCACUCUUGGAUGGACCUGCGGCGCAUUAGCUAGUUGGUAGGGUAACGGCCUACCAAGGCGAUGAUGCAUAGCCGAGUUGAGAGACUGAUCGGCCACAUUGGGACUGAGACACGGCCCAAACUCCUACGGGAGGCAGCAGUA
Molecule: ribosomal RNA, 240 nt
Filed under: uncultured Lactobacillus sp.
Lineage: Bacteria; Bacillati; Bacillota; Bacilli; Lactobacillales; Lactobacillaceae
Description: partial 16S ribosomal RNA
Rfam family: Bacterial small subunit ribosomal RNA
Source: RNAcentral